RNAcentral lists this ribosomal RNA (301 nucleotides) under uncultured bacterium. RNAcentral's name for it is "partial 16S ribosomal RNA". It matches the Rfam family "Bacterial small subunit ribosomal RNA", at positions 509 to 807 of the family's 1533-position model. The record is from RNAcentral.
CAGUAGCCGCGGUAAUACGGAGGGGGCUAGCGUUGUUAGGAAUUACUGGGCGUAAAGCGCACAUAGGCGGCUUGGUAAGUUAGAGGUGAAAGCCUGGAGCUCAACUCCAGAAUUGCCUUUAAGACUGCCGAGCUAGUAGGUGAGAGAGGUAAGUGGAAUUCCGAGUGUAGGGGUGAAAUUCGUAGAUAUUCGGAAGAACACCAGUGGCGAAGGCGGCUUACUGGCUCAUUCUAGACGCUGAGGUGCGAAAGCGUGGGGAGCAAACAGGAUUAGAUACCCCUGUAGUCCCUGUCUCUUAUAC